UUGUUCCUGGGGAGUCUCAUUCAGCUUCUUAGAAGUAGUGUUUUUCUAUUUCUCUUUAGGACAGAAUUUCUGUGAGCAAUUUCCUCUGCAUCACAACACAAACCAGUUUCUGUGGCUUCCCACUCACAAAUAGCACAACAAAGCCAGAAAUACAAGUCUUUUAUGAUGAAGAGGGGAUUGGCCAGACUUCAACCACAACUCACGUAAUUUCAUUUACAGAAGACCUACUCAUCAUUGUCUUUUAGUCAGAAGAGGCCUCAAAGCAUGGGCAGUAACAAGCACUGGGAGACCAGGUGAAGGCAUCUUGGAAGUGCUUCUCUGAGGGCCAAGUCUUCCAUCAUCUGUACAGACAGGUUUAGAAAUAUGAAAACCUUUUGAAUCGAGGCUGCAGGAGGUUAAGAAGAAUAUUUGAACAUCAGAAGAGACAAAAAUUAUUAUGCUAACAUAUUCCAGCACAAGAGAAAAACCAAACCAGGAAGAUAAUGAUGUGAUUCAGACAGAGAAGCUAGCAUGGGACAACAGGAUUGUGAUGGCUCCUUUAUGAUUGUUCAGCUUUAAUUUGUAACAAGGCCAUAUAGCUACAACAUCCCACUGGGCUGUUCUGCAGCAGCAAUUGUUCCCAGAUGCAGAACAACUAUUGCCUGCAUUCCACUCCCACCGCAUGGCGAGGGGUGGAACGUGUUACAGUGAAAACAUUAUUUGCUGAUGUACCUCAAGUCCUUUCCUGUGAGGCACUGGUACCCCACAAUCUGUCCUUUGGUCUGCAGAGGAGCCCAGUAUCACCUCCUGGAUUGGUACAUCUGGUUUUGUCUCAUGUUGAAGUAUAUUCCAGAACAACAAGGACCUUACCCCAAUGUAAGAAGGAUCUCCAGCCAGUCUCCUUCACUGGGACAGCAGACAAUGGAAGAAUAAAGGUCUGUGGCUGCCAGAUAUCAGCCUGUCUAGGGAUUUCAAGAUUAAAAAAUUAAAGUUAAUAACUUUCAAAAAACACUCAGCCAGAGACCAAGUCAGAAUACACAGCGAAAAGCAGCAUGACAGCCUGGUCAGCACUGUUUCAGGUACCAUUAUAAAGAUGUUAAACUGGGGAGGGGCAGAUUCCCUGUGGAAAGCUCUGGCUUUCAGCUUUAAAGAAAAGCAGGGUUCACCAUUAGAUACAAUUAGCAAGCUGGGUACCAUGCCUCUGUAUUGCACAGGUCUGAACAGCCGCACUGGAGGACUGUCUGUUUUCCUCACCACACUCUGGCUGCUCUGACGUUUCAGAUAAGCAGCCAGGUGAUGACAGCUCACAGGGAAGAUUUUUCUUAAGACAUUUUCUUGCCUUUAACAUUUUUUUAAAAAGGUUUCUUUAUUCCCAUGGGGAUUAAUACUUUUAUUCUAUUAUGGCUGUAUAAUAAGGAUUACAUGGCAUCCCUGGUAUUAGUGCUGAGUAGUCAAGUUAUCCUCAUAGGUUAAAAGCAAAACAUACAAUUAGCAGCAGAUUAAAAGUAUAUGAUUAAAUACGCAUUUUAGUCAUUAAAUAUAAGCUGUUCAUUCUGACUGGAUGAUCAGAUGUGAUUACCCGCACCUCCUGGCUAUUAUAAAUAUUAGUUGUGCACUACAUAUUAAAAAGAAAUUUCUUUAGAUUUCUCUCCUGGGUCCUUAAUUAGACUUAGAGCCUGCUUGCAAAUUUGUGUGGAUCUCUAUGCCGAUCAUAUCACAUCACAUUUUGAAUCGUAGCGUUUCUGGGGUUAGUUUUAAAAUAUUUAACAGAUCUCAGCCUGUAAUCAAACUCUGUUAGAUGGUGAUGCCUUUUCCCACAAGCAAGGUAGGGAAAGAGGGUUUCUAAGGAGCCCCUGGGGACUCUCCGGGGCCAGGGAAGCUCUGUGAAU
Long non-coding RNA from Neopsephotus bourkii (Bourke's parrot), 1868 nucleotides. RefSeq lists it as uncharacterized. The record is from RefSeq and is a predicted model, not a curated record. The transcript is spliced from 3 exons. NCBI's taxonomy places the organism in Eukaryota, Metazoa, Chordata, Aves, Psittaciformes, Psittacidae.